Papaver somniferum (opium poppy) is the source of this 2288-nucleotide long non-coding RNA. RefSeq lists it as uncharacterized. The transcript has 8 exons. The record is from RefSeq and is a predicted model, not a curated record. Lineage: Eukaryota; Viridiplantae; Streptophyta; Magnoliopsida; Ranunculales; Papaveraceae.
UUCUCUUCUCCGAUAAUGAUUAAGGUUAACUUCUCUGGUUUCUGAUAAUUUAUGAAGUCUUAAAUCAAAAAUCUCUCCGAGAUUAUGGUCGAAUGAUUUGUUGAUUUCACAGAUAUCAAAUCCCAAAUCAAACCCUAAUCUCAAAUCCAUUUUUUUUAUUCUUCAUGACUGACCUAGCAGCGCCAUUCUCCACCAUGAUUCGAUCUUUUAAUGGAAGUAAAAUCGUCCCACCAUGAGUCGAUCUCAAUUUUCGUAUUAUAUUAUUCGAUCUAUAACCAUCUUCUUCGAUCUAUAAGAAUUUUCUUUCUUCAAUCUCACUGUGAACCAUUUUCUUCUUCAAUAUUUAACUGUAAACCAUUUAAUUUGUUUUCUCUUCUUGUGUCUUUAAUUAUCUUGGUUUCUGUCAAAAUUUGAUCUUUUUAAUUUAUUAUUUUCAAGAACAAUUGUUCGAUUUUGUGAAACUUUAACCUAGAUUCUUCAAUUUAGGAUAUUUCGAGGAUUGGUUACGUGCUUUGUGAACUUGGGUUUUUCUUAAUCUGUUAUUGAGUUAUUAACUAUGGGUUUCGUGAAAAGUUUGAACUUUAGGUCAUAUGUGAUAAAAAUCAAUUUGAGCAUGUUUAGCUCUAGAUAAGUGGAAUGUUGACGCUAAAAAUAUGUUGCAGACUCUAAGAGAAUAAAUUCUCAUUGCUUUUGUUGUUGUGCAGGUAGAGAUUAAUAGGUUAAGUGAAGAGCUAAUUCAGUUGAAGGAUCUGAUUUUAUAGAUAAAAAAGUGAAACCUGAGUUUGAACCAAUUAUUGAAGUUUGUGGAUUCCUUGUUAAAUCUUGCAUCUCUAACGGUGUAUGUCUAAAAUCCUGAUUUAUUCAUGAGUUAGGUUUUGAAGGUUUAUUCUUGAAUUUUACCCUUUUGAUAAGUAUUAUUUCUGAUAUGAUGUCGUGUUUUGGGGGUUCUGCUAGAUUCAUGACUUGUUUUCUUAAGUUUGCCAUUUGUCAGUUGGUUUAAUGUUGAUUGUUGAUUGCAUCUCAAGGAUGGAUACACAACAAUGGGAUAUUAAGUUUGAAAGAUGAUAUUUUGAAGAUGAAGAGAUGGUUUAGUUUGAAGGUGUUCAAAAUAACAAGCACCAAUAUGUAAGAACAAAAUCACAAGGGAGAAAAGAGAUAAGUAAACUGACCUGGUUAGCAUACACUUGGAUCACUUCAUUCAAGUCAGAUUAAGGAAUUAUGUGCCAACCCUGGUUCGAUUGAUUUGAAUGAGCAUUUUCAAAUGAGCAUAUAUUGGAGAUGAAGGUUAGAUAUAUUUUCUAAGAUAUGAUGUAUACACGUCAUGCCAUGUGUGGGGCUAUGUGGAAUAAUGCUGAAGCUAAAGAUUUAUGGAAAGAGAGGAGUUUAUAAGGACACUAAUUAGAUUACAGGAAGAGCGUUGGGAAAUCCUCGAUAAAUAUGGAAUCCUUUACAACUGUGCUUUCUCCCUAUGUGAUAAAGGAAGAGAAUUAAAUGACUAUUGUAUUAUGCAACUCAUUGUGCUGCCUGAAAACCGGUUACAUCUGUACUUCAAGAAGGGGCAAGUGAGAGAUGAUGACAAAGAUGAAGAGAGGGUCGAGGAGAAGGAGAAUGUUGAUGAUGCAAUCAGGGAGUUUGCGCGGCUGUUUAAGGAAGUUACAGGAAACGAAUGGGAGAGCGAGAAAAAAAUCCAGAAGAAGCAUAUAAAGUUCUAUCUUGUAGACAUGGGUGAUGGUGUCGAUGUUCAACACGGUGGUCUGGGUCUCAGACAUUUUUAUCUUACAGGUGUGCACUAAUGGAGAUGAGACUUGAGUCGCCUGAUUCGCCUAUGGGGAUGCUGACAGAUGUGAGGAAGUUCUUAACGAGUUCAUAGACAAGUUCAAAAUGACAAAGGAGACUGGACAGAAUAAUGAAGCAAUUUGGUUCAGGUUGGAGGAUCACCGAUUUAUAAAGUUGAUAGGCUACUUGUUUGCUGGGAACCUUUUUUUUUUGUUUCUUUUUCUCUGCAGUGCAAAAACUUAUUGUAUUUUCUACUACUUCUCGCCUGGAGAAUAAACUCGAGAAUGCUGAAUAUGCACUUUUCGAUCUAGAAGAGAGAUAGACAAGCAAAUGAGCAGUUUUCCAGGAAUUGGAGAAGGAACAUAAUGGGGAAGUGUACAAGUAGCUGAAAGCAUUGUUUUUUGUCUAUUGAAUUUGUUGUAAAGUUCAUUAAUUAGUAGUUUUGGUUCUAAAACAGGGGUAACUCGAUUUUGUUAGAUUAAUUUGAUUUUAAAUGAACAGGGUUAAUUUCA